CCACAGCCUAUGAUGCCACCUUAUGGAGCACCUUACGCAGCAGUGUAUUCACAUGGAGGAGUUUAUGCACAUCCAGCAGUUCCAAUUGGAUCACAUCCUCAUGUUCCUGGUGUCCCAUCGCCUCCUGCUGCUGCAACACCUGUGAGUGUAGAAACACCUACAAAGUCUAUUGGAAAUACAGAUCAAGGUUUAAUGAAGAAGUUGAAAAGAUUUGAUGGGCUUGCAAUGUCAAUAGGCAAUGUGAGUAGUAAUGCGGAGAGUGCUGAGGGUGGGGACCACGAGCUGUCUCAGAGUGUGGAGACUGAAGGUUCUAGUGAUGGAAGCGAUGGAAAUACGGCUGGGGGAAGGAAAAGGAGUCGGGAGGGGAAACCAACUAUUGGUGGAGAGAUGAAAACGGAGAUGCAGGCCAGUAUUGUUCCUACUGGGGAGGUCAAUGGAUCUUCUGAUAAGGUAUUGGGUGCUGCUGUCGCUUCUGCUGGUGUUUCAGGAAAAUCUCCAGGAUCUGUAGUUUCUCCUGGCACGAGCACAGCAUUGGAACUCAGGAACCCUCCUCUGAAUGCUGCUAAGACAAGUGCAACUAGCAUUCCACAACCUUGUCAAGUUCUGCCUU
RNAcentral lists this unclassified non-coding RNA (610 nucleotides) under Hevea brasiliensis (rubber tree). Lineage: Eukaryota; Viridiplantae; Streptophyta; Magnoliopsida; Malpighiales; Euphorbiaceae. The record is from RNAcentral.